RNAcentral lists this ribosomal RNA (516 nucleotides) under uncultured Glomeraceae. RNAcentral's name for it is "SSU rRNA". It matches the Rfam family "Eukaryotic small subunit ribosomal RNA", at positions 569 to 1092 of the family's 1831-position model. Lineage: Eukaryota; Fungi; Glomeromycota; Glomeromycetes; Glomerales; Glomeraceae. The record is from RNAcentral.
AGCAGCCGCGGUAAUUCCAGCUCCAAUAGCGUAUAUUAAAGUUGUUGCAGUUAAAAAGCUCGUAGUUGAAUUUCGGGAUCAAUACGUCGGUCGUGCCUCGGUACGUACUAACGUUAUUGGUUUCUCCCUUCUAACAAAUCGUGAUGUCAUUAAUUUGGUGUUACGGGGAGUUAGGACUGUUACUUUGAAAAAAUUAGUGUUUAAAGCAAGCAAUCGCUCGAAUACAUUAGCAUGGAAUAAUGAAAUAGGACGUUCGACCCUAUUUUGUUGGUUUCUAGGAUCGACGUAAUGAUUAAUAGGGAUAGUUGGGGGCAUUAGUAUUCAAUUGUCAGAGGUGAAAUUCUUGGAUUUAUUGAAGACUAACUACUGCGAAAGCAUUUGCCAAGGAUGUUUUCAUUAAUCAAGAACGAAAGUUAGGGGAUCGAAGACGAUCAGAUACCGUCGUAGUCUUAACCAUAAACUAUGCCGACUAGGGAUCGGAUGAUGUUAACUUAAUGACUCAUUCGGCGCCUUACG